AUUGAUGACUUGUGUGGCUUUUAACCAUAUCUGGGAAACUCUCAUACCCUCAUUGCCUUUGCUUGGAGGAUGUCCCUGCUGGUCCUGGCAGCCCUCACACUGCGCAGUCUUUCCACACACUACAGCCCAAGGAGUCAUCUGCUUGUGGUUUGGUAGCUUCAACCUUGUUCUCUACAACCAUCCCCCAUGCCGGUUCUCAGCUCAGAAAACUUCAAUGACUUCCAUUAUCCGCUGAAGUUUUAACUUUUACAUACAAACCUGAAUGGAAACAUUCAGGUUUUCCAGGAUAUGGCCUUUGCUGUCAUUUCCUCCUUGUUAUCCUUUCUCCCUCCCUCCAUAUUUUCCACAAAUGAUUUGGAAAUACUGUAAAAACCUCUAUAUUAAGUGCUGGGGAUAUAUUGAUGAUCAAGCUGCCUUUGUAAAGUGUGCAGAUAAAAGAGAGAUCCACAGAGAAGUAAUUCAAGUCAAGCAGGAUGAGUGAUUUGGUAGGGCAGUGUCGGGGCAACAGGAGGAUGCACAGGGAACUUCAACAAAUUGACCAGGCUGAUUUCUCUGAAGAAGGAACACGUCAGUGGAAAUGUGUGAAAACUGAUCAACAGAAGAAGGGGCUUGAUCUACUUUCCGUCUUAGAAUGUGUGCUCAGGUUGCGGUGUGUACGGUGUGGAUAAAUGAUUUGGGCCAGUGGCUUUCAAACUUGAGUGUGAGUCAGAAUCUUCCAGAGGGCUUUGUAGAACACCACUGCAGGACUCCCUCUCCUAGUAGGUUUGGGGGAGACCCUGAGAAUCUCCAUUUUUUUUUUUGAGACGGGGUUUCACUCUUGUGGCCCAGGCUGGAGUGCAGUGCUGCCGUCUUGGCUCACCGCAAGCUCCGCUUCCCGGGUUCAAGCGAUUCUCCUGCCUCAGCCUCCCACGUAGCUGGGAUUACAGGGGCCCGCCACCAUGCCUGGCUAAUUUUUUGUAUUUUUUAGUAGAGACGGGGUUUGGCCAUGUUGGGCAGGCUGCUCUCCUGACCUCAGGUGAUCCGCCCGCCUCAGCCUCCCAAAGUGCUGGGAUUACAGGCGUGAGCCACCGUGCCCGGCCGAGAAUCUGCAUUUUUAACAAGCUCCCAGGAGAAGCUGAAGCUGCUGAUCCUGGGACUGCACUUAGAGAACCACGGUUCUGAGGCUUUGAAGAACAAGCUGCCAUGAAUCCUGCAGCUACAAGGAAAUGAACUCUAUUAACUUGAGUGAGCUUAAAACUAGAUCCUUCCCCAGUCAAGCCUCCAGGUGAGAAUUCAAUCCUGGCUGGCACCUGGAUUGCAGCUUACAGAAGACCCAGCUAAGGCCAUGUCUGGACUUUAAAUCCACAGGAACUGCAAGAUGGUAUCAGAAGUGGGACCUGCAGUGGGGCAUCUAGCAACCCCCAGGAGCAUUGAGUGACCAGGCUUGGGACCCACCGGGCGCAGGGUGUCCAUUGUUCUCUCGAAGCAACUGAGAAUUGUGGAUAUUCUUCAUUAUUCCAUCAUCAUCUCAAACCUCUUGGGUAUAGUGUUUGACUACUACUGUGACCAUAAAUUCCAAUAAAACCUAGGAAAAAUGAAACCACUACAUUAACUGAAAGGAUGUGCCUGUCACAGUCUCCACCAGAAGCUUUAUCUUACUACAGAGUCCAGAUGCAUUAAGGCUGUGUUCGAGCCAUGAUCUUCCUCUGAAGAAGAAAUGAAGAAGAAAUUUAUCUUAUUUUUGGAUAUAGUGUUCUUAGUUGGCAGUUUAAUUAUUAUUUUUACUUCAUCACUUUGUAUACGUCAUCGCACUUUCUCCUGGCCUAUAAGAUCUCUCCUGAGAAAUUUUACGUUCUACUUUACUGGAA
Molecule: long non-coding RNA, 1847 nt
Filed under: Homo sapiens (human)
Lineage: Eukaryota; Metazoa; Chordata; Mammalia; Primates; Hominidae
Description: non-protein coding lnc-NKAIN3-14:5
Source: RNAcentral